RNAcentral lists this transfer RNA (73 nucleotides) under Ornithorhynchus anatinus (platypus). It matches the Rfam family "tRNA". From Rfam's summary of the family: Transfer RNA (tRNA) molecules are approximately 80 nucleotides in length. Their secondary structure includes four short double-helical elements and three loops (D, anti-codon, and T loops). The record is from Rfam by way of RNAcentral. Lineage: Eukaryota; Metazoa; Chordata; Mammalia; Monotremata; Ornithorhynchidae.
AGCAGCGUAGCCUAGUGGAUAGAGCCUGACCCUGGGAGUCAGAAAGACCUGGGUUCUAAUCCCAGCUCUGCCA